RNAcentral lists this transfer RNA (74 nucleotides) under Chloroflexota bacterium. RNAcentral describes it as "Chloroflexi bacterium (wastewater metagenome) tRNA-Pro". It matches the Rfam family "tRNA". From Rfam's summary of the family: Transfer RNA (tRNA) molecules are approximately 80 nucleotides in length. Their secondary structure includes four short double-helical elements and three loops (D, anti-codon, and T loops). The record is from RNAcentral. Lineage: Bacteria; Bacillati; Chloroflexota. RNAcentral also lists the same sequence under 1 other name.
CGGGGCAUAGCUCAGCCUGGCAGAGUGCUCGGUUUGGGACCGAGAGGCCGUCAGUUCGAAUCUGACUGCCCCGA